AUUUGUGUGCAGAGGUGAUAUUGCAGCUAAUGAGAUUUUAAUCAAAGCACAAUUAUUGCUGAUUGAAAGUUGUCAUCAGCUUAGGCAACAUAGAAAGACCCUGUCUCUACAACAUAAAAUUUUUAAAAAUUAGCCGGGUAU
This is a non-coding RNA of Callithrix jacchus (white-tufted-ear marmoset), 141 nucleotides long. Lineage: Eukaryota; Metazoa; Chordata; Mammalia; Primates; Cebidae. The record is from Rfam.